GACAGAGGUGCCGAGCGUUAGGCGGAAUCACUGGGCUUAAAGCGUGUGUAGGCGGGUCGUUAAGUGUCUUGUGAAAUCCCACCGCUCACCGGUGGAACGGCUGGGCAUACUGGCGACCUUGAGAGGCCUAGGGGCAGACGGAACAAGCGGUGGAGCGGUGAAAUGCGUAGAUAUCGCUUGGAACGCCGACGGCGAAAGCAGUCUGCUGGGGGCCUUCUGACGCUGAGACACGAGAGCCAGGGGAGCGAACGGG
This 253-nucleotide ribosomal RNA is filed under the name uncultured bacterium. RNAcentral's name for it is "partial 16S ribosomal RNA". It matches the Rfam family "Bacterial small subunit ribosomal RNA", at positions 524 to 776 of the family's 1533-position model. The record is from RNAcentral.